RNAcentral lists this transfer RNA (85 nucleotides) under Bacteroidota bacterium. Its description in RNAcentral is "Bacteroidetes bacterium tRNA-Ser". It matches the Rfam family "tRNA". Rfam says of the family: Transfer RNA (tRNA) molecules are approximately 80 nucleotides in length. Their secondary structure includes four short double-helical elements and three loops (D, anti-codon, and T loops). Further hydrogen bonds mediate the characteristic L-shaped molecular structure. tRNAs have two regions of fundamental functional importance: the anti-codon, which is responsible for specific mRNA codon recognition, and the 3' end, to which the tRNAs corresponding amino acid is attached (by aminoacyl-tRNA synthetases). tRNAs cope with the degeneracy of the genetic code in two manners: having more than one tRNA (with a specific anti-codon) for a particular amino acid; and 'wobble' base-pairing, i.e. permitting non-standard base-pairing at the 3rd anti-codon position. The record is from RNAcentral. Lineage: Bacteria; Pseudomonadati; Bacteroidota.
GGAAGGCUAGGCUAAUUGGUAAGCCAGCAGACUUGAAAUCUGCCGCCUUGAAAAAGGCUUGGGGGUUCGAGUCCCUCGCCUUCCG